Molecule: ribosomal RNA, 441 nt
Filed under: uncultured bacterium
Lineage: Bacteria
Description: partial 16S ribosomal RNA
Rfam family: Bacterial small subunit ribosomal RNA
Source: RNAcentral
CCUACGGGAGGCAGCAGUGGGGAAUAUUGGGCAAUGGGCGCAAGCCUGACCCAGCAACGCCGCGUGAAGGAUGAAGGUUUUCGGAUUGUAAACUUCUGUCGCGCGGGACGAAGAAUGUCGGUACCUCGUAAGAAAGCCUCGGCUCACUACGUGCCAGCAGCCGCGGUAAUACGGAGGGGGCAAGCGUUGACCGGAAUGACUGGGCGUAAAGGGAGUGUAGGCGGCUCAUCAAGUUAGAUGGGAAAUCCCGCGGCUUAACCGCGGAACUGCAUCUAAAACUGGUAAGCUGGAGUGGAGGAGAGGUGAGUGGAAUUCCGGGUGUAGCGGUGGAAUGCGUAGAUAUGAGGAGGAACACCAGAGGCGAAGGCGACUCACUGGACUGAAACUGACGCUGAGGCUCGAAAGCGUGGGGAGCAAACAGGAUUAGAUACCCGAGUAGUC